GCUUCAGCGGCGGUAGCGGUGAGUACACGUGGGCACCUGCCUGUAGACGGGGAUAACACGAGAAUCGGUGCUCAUACCGGAUAAUACGAAUGUCGCAUGACGUUUCGUUGAAUGACGCGCUACGUGUCGCUACAGGAUGGUGCGCGCAUUAGCUUCAGUGGGUGAGGUAACGCUCACCCGGGCGAGAUGCGUUCGCGACCCGAGAGGGUGUUUGGCUACCUUGGUACUGAGACACGGUCAGUUUCCUACGGUAGGCAGCAGGAGGGGAUUCUUUCCGUCACGGUAUUGAAUGUUCUUGACGGAGCAACGCCGCGGUAGGAAGUAGGUCCCCUGGGCGCUAAGCCCUUGCGGGAGGGAGACUACGACGCAGAUCCGGCGUACUUGACGUGACCUACAGGUAGCACGCGAAACACGUGCCGCAGCCCGGAAAUACGAGUGCAGCCCUGCCCGAAAAAGAGGCCAAGCCGCCGCGGGCUAAGUCGAUGAAGUCACCGUCCACCGAGAGUGUUCAGAAAGGGUUCGUUUGCUAAGCAGGUAUGCUUUCCGCGGCGCUAGUCGAAGGGGUUAUACCCGCGACCUGUCGCCCUUAGGGGCAUGGCGGCUUAUGCAGCAUGAGGACCCCCCCCCGCG
Molecule: ribosomal RNA, 630 nt
Filed under: Bacillus sp. R32
Lineage: Bacteria; Bacillati; Bacillota; Bacilli; Caryophanales; Bacillaceae
Description: partial 16S ribosomal RNA
Rfam family: Bacterial small subunit ribosomal RNA (bases 1-449)
Source: RNAcentral